Molecule: ribosomal RNA, 890 nt
Filed under: uncultured bacterium
Lineage: Bacteria
Description: bacterial SSU rRNA
Rfam family: Bacterial small subunit ribosomal RNA
Source: RNAcentral
AGAGUUUGAUCAUGGCUCAGAACGAACGCUGGCGGCGUGCCUGAGACAUGCAAGUCGUGGGAGAAAGUCGUAGCAAUACGGCUAGUAAACCGGCGCACGGGUGAGUAACACGUGGACAACCUGCCUUAGAGUCUGGGAUAACCCGUCGAAAGACGAGCUAAUACCGGAUAAGACCACGGGAAGUUCGCUUCCUGAGGUAAAAGAUGGCCUCUGCUCCUGCAAGCUAUCACUUUGAGAGGGGUCCGCGCCCUAUCAGCUAGUUGGCGAGGUAACGGCUCACCAAGGCUAAGACGGGUAGCUGGUCUGAGAGGAUGGUCAGCCACACUGGGACUGAGACACGGCCCAGAGUCCUACGGGAUGCAGCAGUCAGGAAUAUUGCGCAAUGGAGGAAACUCUGACGCAGCGACGCCGCGUGGGUGAUGAAGGCCUUCGGGUCGUAAAGCCCUGUCGGAGGGGAAGAAAAGUUGACUGGCUAAUAUCCAGUUGACCUUUGACGGUACCCUCAAAGGAAGCACCCGCUAACUCCGUGCCAGCAGCCGCGGUAAGACGGAGGGUGCAAGCGUUGUUCGGAUUGACUGGGCGUAAAGGGCGUGUAGGCGGUUUGUCAAGUCGGGUGUGAAAGCCUGGGGCUCAGCCCCAGAAGUGCAUCCGAAACUAGCGAGCUAGAGCGCGAUAGAGGAGGGUGGAAUUUCCUGGUGUAGCGGUGAAAUGCGUAGAUAUCAGAGGAACACCGGCGGCGAAGCGGCCUCUGGAUCGUUGCUGACGCUGAGACGCGAAAGCGUGGGAGCAAACAGAUUAGAUACCCUGGUAGUCACGCCUAGACGAUGGGUACUAGUGUUCGGGUGUGACCCCUGAGUGCGCAGUUACGCAUUAAGUACCCCGCCUGGGAC